AACGAACGCUGGCGGCAUGCCUAACACAUGCAAGUCGAACGAGACCUUCGGGUCUAGUGGCGCACGGGUGCGUAACGCGUGGGAACCUGCCCUUAGGUUCGGAAUAACUCCCCGAAAGGGGUGCUAAUACCGGAUAAUGUCUUCGGACCAAAGAUUUAUCGCCUUUGGAUGGGCCCGCGUUGGAUUAGCUAGUCGGUAGGGUAAAAGCCUACCAAGGCGACGAUCCAUAGCUGGUCUGAGAGGAUGAUCAACCACACUGGGACUGAGACACGGCCCAGACUCCUACGGGAGGCAGCAGUGGGGAAUAUUGGACAAUGGGCGAAAGCCUGAUCCAGCAAUGCCGCGUGAGUGAUGAAGGCCUUAGGGUUGUAAAGCUCUUUUACCCGGGAUGAUAAUGACAGUACCGGGAGAAUAAGCUCCGGCUAACUCCGUG
This 433-nucleotide ribosomal RNA is filed under the name uncultured bacterium. RNAcentral's name for it is "partial 16S ribosomal RNA". It matches the Rfam family "Bacterial small subunit ribosomal RNA", at positions 29 to 507 of the family's 1533-position model. The record is from RNAcentral.